This 513-nucleotide ribosomal RNA is filed under the name uncultured bacterium. Its description in RNAcentral is "partial 16S ribosomal RNA". It matches the Rfam family "Bacterial small subunit ribosomal RNA", at positions 28 to 523 of the family's 1533-position model. The record is from RNAcentral.
GAUGAACGCUGGCGGCGUGCCUAAUACAUGCAAGUUGAACGCACAGCGAAAGGUGCUUGCACCUUUCAAGUGAGUGGCGAACGGGUGAGUAACACGUGGACAACCUGCCUCAAGGCUGGGGAUAACAUUUGGAAACAGAUGCUAAUACCGAAUAAAACUCAGUGUCGCAUGACACAAAGUUAAAAGGCGCUUUGGCGUCACCUAGAGAUGGAUCCGCGGUGCAUUAGUUAGUUGCUGGGGGAAAGGCCUACCAAGACAAUGAUGCAUAGCCGAGUUGAGCGACUGAGCGGCCACAUUGGGACUGAGACACGGCCCAAACCCCUACGGUAGGGUGCAGUAGGGAAUCUUCCACAAUGGGCGAAAGACUGAUGGAGCAAAGCCGCGUGUGUGAUGAAGGCUUUCGGGUCGUAAAGCACUGUUGUAUGGGAAGAACAGCUAGAAUAGGGAAUGAUUUUAGUUUGACGGUACCAUACCAGAAAGGGACGGCUAAAUACGUGCCAGCCGCCGCAGUAA